GAUGAACGCUGGCGGCGUGCUUAACACAUGCAAGUCGAACGGUGAAGCAGAGCUUGCUCUGUGUAUCAGUGGCGAACGGGUGAGUAACACGUGAGCACCCUGCCCCUUACUCUGUGAUAAGCGCUGGAAACGGCGUCUAUUACUUAACAUGAGCUGCGACCGCCUGGUCAGCAGUUGGAAAGAUUUUUCGGUAUGGGAUGGGCUCACGGCCUAUCAGCUUGUUGGUUAGGUAAUGGCUCACCCAGGCGUCGCGGGGUAGCCGGCCUGAGAGGGUGACCGGCGACAAUGGGACUGAGACACGGCCCAGAGGCGUACGGGAGGCAGCAGUGGGGAAUAUUGCACAAUGGGCGAAAGCCUGAGGCAGCGACGCCGCGUGAGGGAUGACGGCCUUCGGGUUGUAAACCUCUUUUAGCAGGGAAGAAGCGAAAGUGACGGUACCUGAAGAAAAAGCGCCGGCUAACUACGUG
This 467-nucleotide ribosomal RNA is filed under the name uncultured bacterium. Its description in RNAcentral is "partial 16S ribosomal RNA". It matches the Rfam family "Bacterial small subunit ribosomal RNA", at positions 28 to 507 of the family's 1533-position model. The record is from RNAcentral.